RNAcentral lists this long non-coding RNA (267 nucleotides) under Ananas comosus (pineapple). Its description in RNAcentral is "long non-coding RNA (ACOM_LNC038404)". The record is from RNAcentral. Lineage: Eukaryota; Viridiplantae; Streptophyta; Magnoliopsida; Poales; Bromeliaceae.
GGUCACGGCCCUCAGUUGCAGCUGCAGUUGCUACCGCAAAAUGCUGCUCCAUAAGCCCUUGGAGCUGCUCGAAUCGACUCUCCUGGCGCUGUACAAUGCCGGUCAAGGCCGACACCUGCGCCCGUAACUCCCGUACUUCACUAGAUCCGGCUUCCUCGGGCACCUCAGGAGAUGGUGCCGGAACGGACCUACGCACGUAGCGUCUUGGGGACAUUGUUCCUGCAACGCAACAACCAGGUUAGUCAUCUAACCCACUCAACUUCGUCG